UAUAGUGGGGUUAAUGGGAGAGGUAGGAGAGGUGGGAAGUUAGGAUAUUUUGGUUAUGCGAUCAUGGGUAUAAUAUUACAAAUUAAUCCCUUUACUUUGCUUAUAUUAUAGUUUAGGUAAAAUAACAAAAUAUUAUAUGUUUGAAGUGGAGCAUCUUGCAAAUAUAUGAAAGGGAAAGGAUUAAUUUGCUAUUUGUAAUACCCAUGCAUGCCUACGAGAACAUUCUCUCUCUUCCUUCUUUCUGUAAUCUAUACACCUGGUGCAUGGAUUAACCUAUGCACCACGUUCAAAAUUUGAACUCAAAUUUUCUCCAUGCACCUAGUGCAUAGAUCAUCUCAUACACCAUUAUUCAAAUGUUCUCUCUUUCCACUUUUUUUCUUUCUCUUUUUUUUUCUUCUUCUUCUUCCUCCCUUCUUUUUUUUUAUGCUUCAACAACCAUUCUUUUGCUUUAG
RNAcentral lists this long non-coding RNA (452 nucleotides) under Ananas comosus (pineapple). RNAcentral describes it as "long non-coding RNA (ACOM_LNC021530)". The record is from RNAcentral. Lineage: Eukaryota; Viridiplantae; Streptophyta; Magnoliopsida; Poales; Bromeliaceae.